RNAcentral lists this transfer RNA (75 nucleotides) under Streptomyces angustmyceticus. RNAcentral's name for it is "tRNA-Gln". It matches the Rfam family "tRNA". From Rfam's summary of the family: Transfer RNA (tRNA) molecules are approximately 80 nucleotides in length. Their secondary structure includes four short double-helical elements and three loops (D, anti-codon, and T loops). Lineage: Bacteria; Bacillati; Actinomycetota; Actinomycetes; Kitasatosporales; Streptomycetaceae. The record is from RNAcentral.
UCCCCCGUGGUGUAAUUGGCAACACAGUCGGUUUUGGUCCGAUCGUUAGAGGUUCGAGUCCUCUCGGGGGAGCCA